UGGGAACCUGACGCGCUUCGUGCGCCGAGAAACGCUUUGUGAACUUAUACCUACUGCUGCCUCCCGUAGAGGCCGGCCCCUUCACUGGGGCCCCCCGGAGACGGGGAGCAGCCCGCCGGCGGCCAACUAAACUCUUGUUUCUAUAGUGAAUCUCUGAGUAAAAAACAUAAAUGAAUCAAAACUUUCAACAACGGAUCUCUUGGUUCUGGCAUCGAUGAAGAACGCAGCGAAAUGCGAUAAGUAAUGUGAAUUGCAGAAUUCAGUGAAUCAUCGAAUCUUUGAACGCACAUUGCGCCCCCUGGUAUUCCGGGGGGCAUGCCUGUUCGAGCGUCAUUUCAACCCUCAAGCCUGGCUUGGUGAUGGGGCACUGCUUCGAGAGGAGCAGGCCCUGAAAUUCAGUGGCGAGCUCGCCAGGACCCCGAGCGUAGUAGUUAUAUCUCGCUUUGGAAGGCCCUGGCGGUGCCCUGCCGUUAAACCCCCAACUUCUGAAAAUUUGACCUCGGAUCAGGUAGGAAUACCCGCUGAACUUAAGCAUAUCAAUAAGCGGAGGAA
RNAcentral lists this ribosomal RNA (552 nucleotides) under Diaporthe longicolla. RNAcentral's name for it is "eukaryotic LSU rRNA". The stretch from base 180 to 333 matches the Rfam family "5.8S ribosomal RNA". Lineage: Eukaryota; Fungi; Ascomycota; Sordariomycetes; Diaporthales; Diaporthaceae. The record is from RNAcentral.